CUUCCAAAGUUUGCAAAUUUUGUAUAUACUUUUGUAUUGCAAUUUUCGCAUGUAUACAAAAUUUGUAUACAAAAUUUGCAAACUUUCCUAGGCUAU
This is a non-coding RNA of Paramuricea clavata, 96 nucleotides long. The record is from the annotation of a GenBank genome assembly. Lineage: Eukaryota; Metazoa; Cnidaria; Anthozoa; Malacalcyonacea; Plexauridae.